RNAcentral lists this ribosomal RNA (29 nucleotides) under Trichoderma virens. RNAcentral's name for it is "partial 18S ribosomal RNA". The record is from RNAcentral. Lineage: Eukaryota; Fungi; Ascomycota; Sordariomycetes; Hypocreales; Hypocreaceae.
CCUUGUAGUGAACUGCGGAGGGAUCAUUA